Arachis ipaensis is the source of this 199-nucleotide non-coding RNA. Lineage: Eukaryota; Viridiplantae; Streptophyta; Magnoliopsida; Fabales; Fabaceae. The record is from RefSeq and is a predicted model, not a curated record.
UGCCUUUCUUCCAACAUUGUUUCUCCACUAAUCAAAACAUGACAGGUUCCCAGGGCUUUAAAGGUUUACAUUCUUGGAUGUAUCCUCAAUCUGUUCUACCACCGUCUCUCAUAUCAGCCUUGAGCUCACCAACUGCAGAUGGAGAACUGGACUUCUUAAGUAAACGGCAAUCAGCUUGGGAAGAGUCCUUCCGAGAUCU